RNAcentral lists this ribosomal RNA (465 nucleotides) under uncultured bacterium. RNAcentral's name for it is "bacterial SSU rRNA". It matches the Rfam family "Bacterial small subunit ribosomal RNA", at positions 331 to 794 of the family's 1533-position model. The record is from RNAcentral.
CCAGACUCCUACGGGAGGCAGCAGUGAGGAAUAUUGGUCAAUGGCCGAGAGGCUGAACCAGCCAAGUCGCGUGAGGGAUGACGGCCCUACGGGUUGUAAACCUCUUUUGUCGGGGAGCAAAAGACGCCACGCGUGGCGUUCCGAGAGUACCCGAAGAAAAAGCAUCGGCUAACUCCGUGCCAGCAGCCGCGGUAAUACGGAGGAUGCGAGCGUUAUCCGGAUUUAUUGGGUUUAAAGGGUGCGCAGGCGGAGGUGCAAGUCAGCGGUCAAAUCGUGGGGCUCAACCCCAUCCAGCCGUUGAAACUGGGGAUCUAGAGUGUGCGAGAGGUAUGCGGAAUGCGUGGUGUAGCGGUGAAAUGCAUAGAUAUCACGCAGAACCCCGAUUGCGAAGGCAGCAUACCGGUGCACAACUGACGCUCAGGCACGAAAGCGUGGGUAUCGAACAGGAUUAGAUACCCUUGUAAU